Molecule: long non-coding RNA, 275 nt
Filed under: Mytilus galloprovincialis (Mediterranean mussel)
Lineage: Eukaryota; Metazoa; Mollusca; Bivalvia; Mytilida; Mytilidae
Source: RNAcentral
CUAUUUUUAGCCAUGGCGGCCAUCUUGAUUGGUUGGCCGGGUCACCGGACACAAUUUUUAAACUAGAUACCCUAAUAAUGAUUGUGGCCAAGUUUGGUAAAAAUUGGCCCAGUAGUUUCAGAGGAGAAGAUUUUUGUAAAAGUUAACGACGGACGACGACGACGACGACGACGGACGACGGACGAGGACGCCGACGCCGGACGCCGGACGCCGGACGCCAAGUGAUGAGAAAAGCUCACUUGGCCCUUUGGGCCAGGUGAGCUAAAAAAGAAUUU